GGAAAGUGGGCACAGCUGAAAUAAACAGCCAUAAUGUGGUGAGUAUUUCCACUGUGGAUUUGGGUGAAGUGCAAUCUGAUCGAAGACCUCACGUGAAGAUGGAGAGAGACUUGUCUUAUCUGGGUGUCAUGCCAGAGAACUAGUUAUUAUUCAUUAGAAUGGGAAGCCUGAUUCCACUGGUUGAUGAGAGAAGCCUGGCAGCAAAACACUAAAUUCUGCAGAUGCAUCCGUUCAACAAAAUCCAAGGUGUGCCAAGGCAUGUCCCACUGGAUGGAGACCCCAGGGAAAACCUCACAACUGGCAUGGAAGGAGCAGGAAUCUGUGGCUGGCGAUCGAGAAGUCUGCCUGGGG
Molecule: long non-coding RNA, 351 nt
Organism: Ictalurus punctatus (channel catfish)
Lineage: Eukaryota; Metazoa; Chordata; Actinopteri; Siluriformes; Ictaluridae
Source: Ensembl